CCAGUGUGAUGCCUACUGUUCAUUCAAGCCUGGAAACAUCGAAACAGCUUCAUGGGACACAAAGGCUGCGAAGCAGAAGGACAAAGACGAUGCAGAUGAGAAGACCUUGUUGGCGCUCACUCCAAUUCCAGGCCAUACCGUGUGAGAUACAACGUGGAUGGCACCACUCAGAUGACUGGGAAGCCUAUCUGUCCCCAUCUCUUAAAAUAAGAGUAUCACCACAGCAGCCCCACUGUGCGCAUCCAGCUAGCCAGUUAAAGAGCUGAAGUUCAAACAGCCCCAAGAACUGAAGGUUUUGCCCAAGAACUUCCACUCACCCUACGAUGGACUGGACCACGAGUGAUGCCCGUCACCAGCUGGAGCCUCACGCAGACGCACACACACACACUGAUGUACUUAGGCUAUAUUGGUUACAGUUGUUCAUUAAAAUCAGUGUAAUUAUAUUUUUGCAUUAUUUUUUAAAUACCUUUACUGGUUUUAAUGGUUUUAACAUAAUUCCUAAUUGUUCAAAGUAUUAAGUCAAAUAUCUAGUAGUAGUCAAGACUCCAAUCAAUUGUCUCUCACAAAUAGUCUGACAGAUUCUUUAUCCUGGUUGUUCAUAAUAAUAAUUUUGAAUGUUGUGUGGUUUACACAGUAAAAUAAAUUUCAACCUUUACUGAUUAAA
Molecule: long non-coding RNA, 664 nt
Organism: Micropterus salmoides (largemouth bass)
Lineage: Eukaryota; Metazoa; Chordata; Actinopteri; Centrarchiformes; Centrarchidae
Exons: 2
Source: RefSeq, a predicted model, not a curated record